This 415-nucleotide long non-coding RNA is filed under the name Olea europaea (common olive). Its description in RNAcentral is "long non-coding RNA (OEUR_LNC011860)". Lineage: Eukaryota; Viridiplantae; Streptophyta; Magnoliopsida; Lamiales; Oleaceae. The record is from RNAcentral.
AAAAUAUUUGAUAAGAUACUUCUAAAGAAAGUUGAACAAUAACAGAGACUUGUGUCCAUUAAAUAGUUCUGCCAAAGGUUAGGAAGGGUUAAAGCUUAAUUCCAACGGGUAUUCUGAAGGAUUGAAAAAUUGACUUUAUGAGAAAGAAGAUGUUGCAAUUGAAUGGAUUUAGGGAUUUUUCAGUUUACAGUUGUUACACCUCCACCUGGGAUUAAUUAUAAAUGAUUUAAUUUAUAAGUAAAUGAAAAAGGGUGACGGAUAAAUGAAUUAUUCUCGUCGAUCUAUUGAAAUGUAUGGUUGAAAAUGUGGGCUCAACCAGUAAAAAAUGGGAACAAGAUUGGCCAGACAGGUUAUAGAAAAAGCUGCAUCAUACAUUUUCACUUACCAAAAAAAAAAAAAAAAAAAAAAAAUAAAN